UGGGGAAUAUUGCACAAUGGGCGCAAGCCUGAUGCAGCCAUGCCGCGUGUAUGAAGAAGGCCUUCGGGUUGUAAAGUACUUUCAGUCGGGAGGAAGGUGGUAAGGUUAAUAACCUUAUCAAUUGACGUUACCGACAGAAGAAGCACCGGCUAACUACGUGCCAGCAGCCGCGGUAAUACGUAGGUGGCAAGCGUUGUCCGGAUUUAUUGGGCGUAAAGCGAGCGCAGGCGGUUUCUUAAGUCUGAUGUGAAAGCCCCCGGCUCAACCGGGGAGGGUCAUUGGAAACUGGGAGACUUGAGUGCAGAAGAGGAGAGUGGAAUUCCAUGUGUAGCGGUGAAAUGCGUAGAUAUAUGGAGGAACACCAGUGGCGAAGGCGGCUCUCUGGUCUGUAACUGACGCUCAGGUGCGAAAGCGUGGGGAGCAAACAGG
This 429-nucleotide ribosomal RNA is filed under the name Chloroflexota bacterium. RNAcentral describes it as "Chloroflexi bacterium partial 16S ribosomal RNA". It matches the Rfam family "Bacterial small subunit ribosomal RNA", at positions 355 to 776 of the family's 1533-position model. The record is from RNAcentral. Lineage: Bacteria; Bacillati; Chloroflexota.